CGACCUUACUUGAACAGGAUCUGUUCUAUAGGUUCGUACCUCUGUAUCCUUAAGUUCUAAGGAGACAGGAACUGAAAUCUGGUGGAUGAUCUAUGACUCUGUGAUCAGAGCGUGAUUAACGGCUAGAUGAACUUCUCCUCGGAUUAGUGAAAUCUCCAGCUGUAGAGGAUCGUUCCUGGUCAGCAGUGGCUUAGGAUGGUCACAGAGUUGUCUGACAGAUUCUCUAAAGUAAUUUUAAUUUUUUGGAAAAUUCAGAUUCUCUUAAAAUAUUACUCUUGUUUUUGUAUGUUAUUAAAAACACAUUGCAAAAAUAUGAGAUCUACAUAAAUUAUUUAUGUAUUUCAUUGUAAAAUUAGAUAAAAAAAAAUAUUAAUAAAGUUUACUUGUGCUAAGUUUUUAAAAAGAGGUACAUUAAGUUUAGAAAGAAUUGACACAAAAAAUAUUAAACUAAAUAAUAUUAAGAAUAAAGAAAAAAUAUAAAUUAAAAUAUAUAAUAAAAAUAUAAUGUAUUAUGAUCUAAAUUAAAAAAAGAAAUCACUUGUCUUUAUCUAAAUUUGGUCAGUUAUCCUAAAACCUAAUUUAAUAUUAAAUUGAAAAAAUACAAUGGAAAAUGCUUUGUAGUGAUUAUGUCAGACGAAUGAAGCAAUGCUAAAAACUGAUGGAGGAGACUUCCAUUGAUUUUGACAGACGAUUUGAUUACGGAUAAAAUAUAUUUUAAUACACGUUUUAAACUCAUUGUUUUGUUAUUAAUAUGUGAUUCAACAUGGUGUUCUUUAUUUAGUAAUUCUUUUAAAAUAAUUAUUAUUUAAUUAACCUUUGAAAUAACUUUUUUAAAAUAAACAAGUAUUUCUUUAGAUUUUAUCAGCACCAGACUGUAUUAAUAAGGGGCCAUGAUUUUGUUUUUAGUAGUUUUUUUAAUAGAAUUAUUUAUUAAGUCGUGUUAUGCAAAUUGAUAAAGAAUAUUAAAAAACUUUACUCAUUAUAUAUCUUAGUUCAUCAUUUUUUAGUAUUAACAGUGUUUUUUAAGACUCUUUUUUAAUAAAUUGUUACGAAAAUGAUGUACUUUCUGUCAUUUAUUUUGGCUAGAUUAGAAGCGAAGUCAGCGUAGGAAUAGAUGAUUACUAAAAUGAGAUAUUGAUUACCACAAAGUAAAAAAAGAAAAAAAAAAAAAAAAAGUAAAAAAUCAAGAGCCGAUAAAAUCACCGGUGUGUGCUGGUAACCUUCGAACACAACACAUGGAAGUGACUCUGACGAGCUUGCUUCAUCACCGCUGUGCAUGAUCACUAAGUGGAAGGUGUUCCAUCUUCCAUUUUCGCAGACAAAUUAAGAAAAAUUAUAUUUUUUCACCUUUUCUUUGGCGUCUGAAACUGUUUUCCUUUCAUGGGUGAAUCCACCAUUCCUCAUUUUCAGCAUCUAAUGGCGAAAAAAUUGCUCUUUUUGUUGACCCUUUUGGAAAUACUCCUCUGUGGGCAAUCCAAGUUUAUGGUGUACAAUACAUCACAGGGUAUAGUCCCUGACAAGCUCAAUGUUCAUCUGGUAGCUCAUACUCAUGACGAUGUUGGUUGGUUGAAGACCGUUGAUCAGUACUAUGUUGGUUCUAACAAUUCAAUUCAGGUGUUUAUUUAAUUCUCUUUCUUUGGCUAAACUUGUGAACAAUGGUGUCUGAAGAUUGCAAGUUGAGGGUCUUGUUUGCUAUGUUGCAAUGUGCAGGGCGCUUGUGUGCAGAAUGUGUUGGACUCUAUGGUGCACGCGCUGUUGGCUGACAAGAACAGAAAGUUUAUCUAUGUUGAGAUGGUAAGUUGGCUUCUUUUGAGUCCCUUAUAUGUUGUUUUCUUGAGUUUCUUUGUUGGAUCAAAGUGCUACUGCUCGUGACAAGAGGAAAUUUUGAAGUUGCUUUUUUGGGCUAAAAGUAGUGCUGUGAUGUUCCAAGACACAAUCCGGCAAAGCAUUUCAUUUCCUUUAUGUAGUUCAUGCCUUCCUCUGCAACUUUUUGUACCAAAUUCAUGAUUUAUAUUUCACAUCCUUCUUGUGGCAACAGAUUAAUGUUGCUCCUACAACAAGUUUGAAUUACCUAGACUGUUAAUGCUCGUGACAUUGACAAAUAGGAAUACUAAGAAAAUGAGGAAAACUAUGUUUUUGAAAAUAUGGACUACUUUUAAGGCUUUCUUUAAAUGCUAGUGUGAAAUAUUCUCUCUUGGGAUCAACUCGGUGCGGCUGUGUGAUAGGAUUAACUAGCUAAUGAAAUUGAUGGAUAGGAAUAUCGAGAAAAUUUGACGAUUUGUCUAACACCAAGGCGUCAACUCCAUAUAUAUUUAAAUUCCUUCUACAUUUCCUGUUUUUGUUCCUACCCUGUCAAUGUUUAUAUGCUUGAACGUAGCAUGCAACUAUAUGUUCAUUUUACGUGUUGGCUGUUUCUUCUUAAUUCUUUCACUUUCGUCAAUGCAGGCAUUUUUCAAGAGAUGGUGGAGAGAUCAAAGUGAAGCUGUUCAGGAUGUUGUUAAGAAACUUGUUAGUUCGGGUCAACUAGAGUUCAUGUAAGUACCUUUCUGACUACAGAUUUCAAUGCAAUUAACAACAAAGUCAUUCUUCAAUUGUGAAAUGAAAGCCAUCCUUCACUGUGAAAACAAACUGAUUAAGAAUUCCUUUGUGAGGGUUCCAAUAUCUAUGGGCAAUUAUCUCUCCAUUAUGGUAUUCUUCAAUCGUCUUUUAUUUAGGGAAUGAUGCUAUUUCUUUCCUUUAUUUUCUCCUUGUUACAGAAAUGGCGCCAUGUCUAUGCAUGAUGAAGCAGUUACACAUUACAUAGACAUGAUUGAUCAGACUGCACUUGGUCAUCAAUUUCUGAAAGAGGAAUUUGGUGUGACUCCUAGAAUUGGUUGGCAAAUUGAUCCUUUUGGACACUCUGCUGUGCAGGCCUACCUGUUGGGAGCUGAAGUAUGGCAUAGAUCUUCAAACAAUGAAUCUUAUCAUGACUCUCAAAUUUAGAAAGAAUAUGUUUCUCUUGUAUUUCAAUAAUGAGGGCAAUGGACCUAUAAAUACACAAGCUUGGUAGUUAUUUUGGGAAAUAUAGAUAGCUAAUUCUAAGGAAACAAAUCCCUAUAACUAUGGGAUUGUUUUUAAAUACAUAAUCCUAGCAUUAAUACCAAGAUACACAUGCAAUAAAGAAUAAAAUUAUAGCAGGAAUGUUAUAAACACUUUCUAAAAUACAUAAUGAGCAAAGCAUGAUUUUGAUAAUGACUAAUGAAUAUAUUUUGAAGAAGAUAUAUGUCAAAAGCAUUAUUUGCUAUGUGGGUUAUCAAUUGGUUCUAAUUUGUAUGCAGGUUGGCUUUGACUCACUUUUCUUUGGUCGGAUAGACUACCAAGAUAGGGCUAACCGCAAAAAGGAGAAGAGUCUUGAGGUUAUCUGGCAGGGUAGUAAGAGCCUUGGCUCUUCAGCCCAGGUGAAUAUCAAGAAAUAUGUUUCUUUUCUCUUUAAAUAUUUUAUGGUUGUCUUUGUUAGAGAUCCUACAUUGACUAGGAAUAAUUUUGUGAGGUUGAAUUAGACAUAAGUUUACUUACCAAGAGUCUUUGUAUUUUUAUGAUUGGUUUCUCUUAAAUUAAAUGUUUCCUUUUAUUAUGUUGAGUAUCCUUUUUGUUCUUGCAGAUUUUUGCUGGAGCAUUCCCUGAAAAUUAUGAGCCACCUGCUGGAUUUUACUUUGAAGUUAAUGAUAACUCACCGAUAGUUCAAGUAAUAUUAUAAGAACUUGUUAAUUUUGUUAUCACAUAUAACUAUUUUAGUUCAUUGUUAUGCUAAACUUUGCUUACUUCUUCCUGAAGGAUAACAUGGAAUUGUUUGAUUACAAUGUCCAAGAACGAGUGAAUGACUUUGUUGCAGCUGCAUUAUCGCAAGUAAGUUCAGCAUGUUUAUCUUCAGAUUUCUUAAAAAUGUUAUUUGAAUUUUGAGAUGCAAGAAUAUCAUUAGAAAUUAAAAAUUGAAUUGAGUGAUUGAGAGGUGUUGGGUCUUUCGAGGAGAAUUCACCAAGGAGAUUCAAUGAGCCAAACUCGCGUAAGAUAUUAAUGUAAGUGUUAGAAGUCCCACAUCGACUAGAGAUAAAGUCAAUUUAAAGUAUAUAAAUGGGUGUAAACCUUAUUUUACAAAUUGGUUUUGUAGGACUGGGUUAAAGUCCACCACUUAACAUGUUGGCUCAAGUCAUCUCCCAAUGAAUUUGAUUUAUUAUUUCACUUAAAAUAGUACCAUCUUUUCUUUUCCAUCUUUAAGAACUCUUCUCCAAGCUUAUGAUCUUAGCUUCUCUUAACCACUGAAAAAAUCUCCAAUUCAGCCAUGCUUGCAUUGUCUAUAGGGCAUUAGAUGAUUCAGAAUUGUAUCAUCUAUAGAAAGAUGACUUAUGAGAUUGCUUUCAUUUCAACUACACAAAGCACACAUUAGAACAUUUAGGAAACAUCUAUCCAAUUAUAUAAUGUUAAAUGUAAUUAGCUGUUACAGAUUUGUAGGAAAUUAACAGUUACAUGUUUUAGGAAAUUAGGAUGAUUGAUUCCUGAUUAUUAAGAGUUAUAUAAUUGAUUUUAUAAAUUAGUAUAAAUACAUACUGUGUGGUCUGCAUUACACACACAAUAUAUUUAGUAAAUAUAUCAUUCUAUAUGGUACAUAGUUUAGGGUUUCAAUCUUUGAUCUCCAGUUUUCUAUUUUUUCGGGUGAACAAUACUCGCAGCCACUGUGUGUCACUUUUUCCGUCACCUAAUGUCCCUUCAUUUUGGUGACCACUGCAACCAGAACUGCCUUCCUCCGGUUUAAAGUACAUAUUAUCACAAUUGACCACCACACUUCAUUUGCUGCUUCUGUCCACUUCUGCACCCGCCCAUACGUGUGACCUCUUUCCAGAGCAUACAUUUCACACGCCCAUCUCAGAUUUUUUUUUUCUUUUUUUUUUCAUUUCGACACAUUAUCCAAUUAUAUAACAUUCAGGAAACAUCUAUCCAAUUAUAUAACAUCAUCAACACUCAUGUCAGACAUGAUUUAUCAAGUCAUCUAGGCAAAUUCUAUAGACUAGACUCUCUAAUUAAACUUAUCUAACUAGAUCAUAUAGUGCCUUUCCUCUACCUAGAACACCUAUCAUCUAACAUGGUUUAAAAAGAUGAUUUUAAUGCAUAAUUUGAUUUAAAGUUCAUAUUAUCACAAUUGAUCAAAUCCCAGUUAAAACAAUGGAUUUUUAAACUCAAUUAUAGCUCAAGAUAGCUAUAAUUAAGUAUUCUAAAAGCAGGAAAACAAAUCUUUAGUGAUGUAAAAAAUCAUUACUGUCAUGGGGACAAUGACCAGGCUUACUAUCCAUGACAAAAUACUUACGAACACAAAACUCAGACACAUUAGAUUUUGUAGUAUAAUUGCAUAAAUUACCAAUCAGAAUAAAUUUUUUUAUUUUUAUGUCUUGAUUAAGGCAUAUGUUUACUAUCUAGCUGAAUAAGAUUUCUCCUAUACAAAUCGAAUCAACAACCAAAAAAUUGAAUGACUAGCCUUACCAACUUGUUCCAAUUUCCAUAAUUGGUUUUUGUUGUGGAAUAACUCAAAACAAUUUCGCUGCAUAAGCGUCUACCAUACAAUAACAUGAUAUUAGAUAAACUGCAAAAUAAACAAUUAGAAGGUAAAAAAAGGAAGAAUAAGGAAAAAUCACAAUAGAAAAUAAGGUGGUUAAAUUGAAGUGCUAAAAAUUACAGCUUGAAGUUUCUCUCUAAGUGAAGUUGAACAACAACUUUCAAUUGAAAAAAUUGUUGAUAUAUCUUCCUAUUUAUGCAGCAUAACUACCUUAAUAACUUCCAUAAAUCACACCUAAACAAGCCAAGAAAAAUAUGUGAACAUUGCUUUCACUACUGAGUUUGAAACGUCACUUAUGUAGACUCUUUAGAUGAUACGAGUCAAAGAGGAAGUUAAAGUCCGGAUGCAAGUAGACAAUCUGAUGUCAUCAAAUGCUUUUAUAAAAGACAAAAGCACUGAUGAAGAUGUCCUGAUGAAGUCAGACUCACUUGAACCAUUAGAUGAUCUGGAAGAGUUAGACGAACUAGGAACCUUAAAAGGGUUUUACCGAGUCAGUCCUCAAAGUUUUCAAAAGGAAUAAAUUAAACUGUAAACAAGAACUCAACCAUGACCUUAAAUUUAAAGCAAAUGGAAAAAACAGAAAAAGAUA
RNAcentral lists this long non-coding RNA (6173 nucleotides) under Vigna radiata. RNAcentral's name for it is "long non-coding RNA (VRAD_LNC018044)". The stretch from base 1 to 221 matches the Rfam family "Plant small nucleolar RNA U3". Lineage: Eukaryota; Viridiplantae; Streptophyta; Magnoliopsida; Fabales; Fabaceae. The record is from RNAcentral.